This 253-nucleotide ribosomal RNA is filed under the name uncultured bacterium. RNAcentral's name for it is "partial 16S ribosomal RNA". It matches the Rfam family "Bacterial small subunit ribosomal RNA", at positions 524 to 776 of the family's 1533-position model. The record is from RNAcentral.
UACGUAGGGAGCAAGCGUUAUCCGGAUUUAUUGGGUGUAAAGGGUGCGUAGACGGGAUUACAAGUUGGUUGUGAAACCCCUCAGCUCAACUGAGGAACUGCAACCAAAACUACAAUUCUUGAGUGCAGGAGAGGAAAGUGGAAUUCCUAGUGUAGCGGUGAAAUGCGUAGAUACUAGGAAGAACACCGGUGGCGAAGGCGACUUUCUGGACUGUAACUGACGUUGAGGCACGAAAGUGUGGGGAGCAAACAGG